UAGGGUCAUAACACUUAUAAAUACCGGUUCUCGUACAAUCACCGAAAUUAAGCAACGUUGAUCCUGGACAAUACAUAGAUGGGUGACCGCUUGGGAAUACCAGGUGU
Molecule: non-coding RNA, 107 nt
Organism: Acanthosepion pharaonis
Lineage: Eukaryota; Metazoa; Mollusca; Cephalopoda; Sepiida; Sepiidae
Source: the annotation of a GenBank genome assembly